CAACCGCAAACGCUAGCUGGAACCAGCUUUUGAUUUUAAGAGGUUCGGAGCGGUUUGAUGCGAUUUGUAGCGGUUUGUAUGAUUGUUUCGAAACGCUGUCAACCGCUACCAAUCGCAAAAGCUGCGUUUGCGGGUGGUAGCGGGAAAACCAAUCAAGCUCUAAAUAUAAUUUGUAUUAAAAUUGUAAAGUGAUAUUUUUUGUGUAACAAAAAAAACUAGAAUAACACUUAUUUUGAAACAA
RNAcentral lists this long non-coding RNA (241 nucleotides) under Brassica rapa (field mustard). Its description in RNAcentral is "long non-coding RNA (BRAP_LNC005922)". Lineage: Eukaryota; Viridiplantae; Streptophyta; Magnoliopsida; Brassicales; Brassicaceae. The record is from RNAcentral.